This is a long non-coding RNA of Eptesicus fuscus (big brown bat), 631 nucleotides long. RefSeq lists it as uncharacterized. The transcript has 4 exons. NCBI's taxonomy places the organism in Eukaryota, Metazoa, Chordata, Mammalia, Chiroptera, Vespertilionidae. The record is from RefSeq and is a predicted model, not a curated record.
GGCCUCUGGAAUUAUGGUUGGAUUCAAGACAGCUUUUUUCUCUUUUAGAUUAAGAACCAACCCAAGCUCUGGCAAGGAACUUGUGCAGAGGGAAUGAAAAGAUUAUCAUGCUCAAAAAAAGCCAUCCCUUGACCUAGGCCCCACUGGCAAACCCUCUACGCUAAAGAUGCAUCUUAUCUUAACACAGGAUUAAAGGAAAUAGUGGCUGGAGGCAUGCAGUUCAAUCAUCAGUCUGAGAAGACAUUGAUUCUCCAAUACCACCCCAUCUCAGCUUAAGGAAAAAUGAAAGAGGCAGAGGGAGAGAUAGAAACAUCAAUAAUGAGAAUCAUUGAUCGGCUACCUCCUGCACAUCCCCUACUAGGGAUUGAGCCCGAAACCUGGACAUGUGCCCUGACAAGGAAUCGAACUGUGACUUCCUGAUUCAUAGUUGACACUCAACCACUGAACCACACCGGCCUGGCUCGUUUCACUUACUUUUAAUCUGCUUUCCACCUUCCUCAGAAAAGAGGGAGCUUCUUACCUUUUCUUAAAUUACCCUCCCAACUAUGUCCCACCCCUUAACACCUUCAGAAUUCUCUCCAUCUUUCUUAUAUUUACUGGCUCCCACUGAAUAUUUCAUCCCUCUAUCCAA